GCCCCUGUGGCUUAGUGGUAGAGCGCGUCCUUGGUAAGGACGAGAUCGCGAGUUCAAUUCUCGCCAGGGGCU
This 72-nucleotide transfer RNA is filed under the name Candidatus Iainarchaeum sp. RNAcentral describes it as "tRNA-Thr". It matches the Rfam family "tRNA". Rfam says of the family: Transfer RNA (tRNA) molecules are approximately 80 nucleotides in length. Their secondary structure includes four short double-helical elements and three loops (D, anti-codon, and T loops). The record is from RNAcentral. Lineage: Archaea; Nanobdellati; Candidatus Iainarchaeota; Candidatus Iainarchaeia; Candidatus Iainarchaeales; Candidatus Iainarchaeaceae.